This 515-nucleotide ribosomal RNA is filed under the name uncultured bacterium. Its description in RNAcentral is "partial 16S ribosomal RNA". It matches the Rfam family "Bacterial small subunit ribosomal RNA", at positions 28 to 523 of the family's 1533-position model. The record is from RNAcentral.
GAUGAACGCUGGCGGCGUGCCUAAUACAUGCAAGUCGAGCGAAUGGAUUAAGAGCUUGCACUUAUGAAGUUAGCGGCGGACGGGUGAGUAACACGUGGGUAACCUGCCCAUAAGACUGGGAUAAAUCCGGGAAACCGGGGCUAAUAGCGGAUAACAUUUUGAACCGCAUGGUUCGAAACUGAAAGGCGGCUUCGGCUGUCACUUAUGGAUGGACCCGCGUCGCAUUAGCUAGUUGGUGAGGUAACGGCUCACCGAGGCAACGAUGCGUAGCCGAGCAGAGACGGUGAUCGGACAGACGGGGACUGAGACGGGGGCUGGCCUCCGACGGGAUGCAGCAGUAGUGAAUCUUGCACAAUGGACGAAAAUCGGACGUGGCAACGUUGCGUGAGUGAUUAAGGCUUUCGGGUCGUAAAACUCUGUUGUUAGGGAAGAACAAGUGCUAGUUGAAUAAGCUGGCACCUUGACGGUACCUAACCAGAAAGCCACGGCUAACUACGUGCCAGCAGCCGCGGUAA